UUUUAUUUUAUUUAUUUAUUUUUUGAGUAGGAAUCUCAUUCUGUCGCUCAGGCUGGAGUGCAGUGGCACACUUACUGAUGCCGCAGCCUCAGCCUGCUAGGU
RNAcentral lists this small nucleolar RNA (102 nucleotides) under Carlito syrichta (Philippine tarsier). RNAcentral's name for it is "Small nucleolar RNA Me28S-Am2634 (ENSTSYG00000025070.2)". The record is from RNAcentral. Lineage: Eukaryota; Metazoa; Chordata; Mammalia; Primates; Tarsiidae.